This 416-nucleotide ribosomal RNA is filed under the name Amietia sp. 5 TRL-2016. Its description in RNAcentral is "partial 12S ribosomal RNA". It matches the Rfam family "Bacterial small subunit ribosomal RNA", at positions 772 to 1401 of the family's 1533-position model. Lineage: Eukaryota; Metazoa; Chordata; Amphibia; Anura; Pyxicephalidae. The record is from RNAcentral.
CUGGGAUUAGAUACCCCACUAUGCCUUACCGUAAAAUAUUAACCACAUUUACCAACGCCCGGGUAUUACGAGCUUAAGCUUAAAACCCAAAGGACUUGACGGUGUCCCACCCCCCUAGAGGAGCCUGUUCUAUAAUCGAUAAUCCCCGCUACACCUCACCAUUUUUAGCCUUUCAGCCUGUAUACCUCCGUCGCAAGCUUACCAUGUGAACGUUACCAGUAAGCCCAAUGGCCCUCCCACCAAUACGUCAGGUCAAGGUGCAGCUCAUGAAAUGGAAAGCAAUGGGCUACAAUUUCUAACAUAGAACAAACGAAAAACUGCAUGAAACACAGCUAUGAAGGUGGAUUUAGUAGUAAAAAGAAAUCAGAGAGUUCUUUUUAACCCGGCACUGGGAUGUGUACACACCGCCCGUCACC